RNAcentral lists this non-coding RNA (32 nucleotides) under Dictyostelium discoideum AX4. Lineage: Eukaryota; Evosea; Eumycetozoa; Dictyosteliales; Dictyosteliaceae. The record is from RNAcentral.
GUUGAUCCUACAAAAGAAACCUUCGUCAACUG